AGACCCGAAACCCGGUGAUCUAGCCAUGGGCAGGUUGAAGGUUGGGUAACACUAACUGGAGGACCGAACCGACUAAUGUUGAAAAAUUAGCGGAUGACCUGUGGCUGGGGGUGAAAGGCCAAUCAAACCGGGAGAUAGCUGGUUCUCCCCGAAAGCUAUUUAGGUAGCGCCUCGUGAAUUCAUCUCCGGGGGUAGAGCACUGUUUCGGCCAGGGGGCCAUCCCGGCUUACCAAUCCGAUGCAAACUGCGAAUACCGGAGAAUGUUAUCACGGGAGACACACGGCGGGUGCUAACGUCCGUCGUGAAGAGGGAAACAACCCAGACCGCCAGCUAAGGUCCCAAAGUCAUGGUUAAGUGGGAAACGAUGUGGGAAGGCCCAGACAGCCAGGAUGUUGGCUUAGAAGCAGCCAUCAUUUAAAGAAAGCGUAAUAGCUCACUGGUCGAGUCGGCCUGCGCGGAAGAUGUAACGGGGCUAAACCAUGCACCGAAGCUGCGGCAGCGAACGUAUCACCCAAGACAACUUUACACAGUUGACGCCUGACGGAGCGAAGCGACGUCAAAGCGUUUUACAACGUCGAGUUGGCUUAGGGAUACGUUCGUUGGGUAGGGGAGCGUUCUGUAAGCCGUUGAAGGUGUGUCG
This 640-nucleotide ribosomal RNA is filed under the name Salmonella enterica. Its description in RNAcentral is "partial 23S ribosomal RNA". It matches the Rfam family "Bacterial large subunit ribosomal RNA", at positions 711 to 1263 of the family's 2925-position model. The record is from RNAcentral. Lineage: Bacteria; Pseudomonadati; Pseudomonadota; Gammaproteobacteria; Enterobacterales; Enterobacteriaceae.